CGCCAGACUCCUACGGGAGGCAGCAGUGGGGGAUAUUGCACAAUGGGGGAAACCCUGAUGCAGCGACGCCGCGUGGGUGAAGAAGCGCCUCGGCGCGUAAAGCCCUGUCAGCAGGGAAGAAAAUGACGGUACCUGAAGAAGAAGCCCCGGCUAACUACGUGCCAGCAGCCGCGGUAAUACGUAGGGGGCAAGCGUUAUCCGGAUUUACUGGGUGUAAAGGGGGCGCAGACGGCGAUGCAGGCCAGGAGUGAAAGCCCGGGGCCCAACCCCCGGACUGCUUUGGAAACUGUAUAGCUGGAGUGCAGGAGAGGUAAGUGGAAUUCCUAGUGUAGCGGUGAAAUGCGUAGAUAUUAGGAGGAACACCAGUGGCGAAGGCGGCUUGCUGGACUGUAACUGACGUUGAGGCUCGAAAGCGUGGGGAGCAAACAGGAUUAGAUACCCUUGUAA
This 447-nucleotide ribosomal RNA is filed under the name uncultured bacterium. Its description in RNAcentral is "bacterial SSU rRNA". It matches the Rfam family "Bacterial small subunit ribosomal RNA", at positions 329 to 793 of the family's 1533-position model. The record is from RNAcentral.